Molecule: ribosomal RNA, 429 nt
Filed under: uncultured bacterium
Lineage: Bacteria
Description: bacterial SSU rRNA
Rfam family: Bacterial small subunit ribosomal RNA
Source: RNAcentral
AGGGUGCAAACGUUGUUCGGAAUGACUGGGCGUAAAGCGUAUGUAGGCGGCUUUGCAGGUCGGAUGUGAAAUCCCUUGGCUCAACCAAGGAAGUGCAUUCGAAACCGCAGAGCUUGAGUGCCUGAGAGGAAGGUGGAAUUCUCGGUGUAGAGGUGAAAUUCGUAGAUAUCGAGAGGAACACCCGUGGCGAAAGCGGCCUUCUGGAAGAGCACUGACGCUGAGAUACGAAAGCAUGGGGAGCAAACAGGAUUAGAUACCCUGGUAGUCCAUGCCGUAAACGAUGGGUGCUAGAUGUGGCGGGUUUUGACCCCUGCCGUGUCGUAGCUAACGCAUUAAGCACCCCGCCUGGGAAGUACGGCCGCAAGGCUAAAACUCAAAGGAAUUGACGGGGGCCCGCACAAGCGGUGGAGCAUGUGGUUUAAUUCAACG